Molecule: long non-coding RNA, 283 nt
Organism: Mya arenaria
Lineage: Eukaryota; Metazoa; Mollusca; Bivalvia; Myida; Myidae
Exons: 3
Source: RefSeq, a predicted model, not a curated record
AAAAUAGUGUCAUUAUCAUUUAAGCUUUUUACCAGAAAAGCGAUAAACUUGCAACAAUGAUGGUUUAUUUUUGGUUAGCUACUAAAUUAUCAACAGGUAAACAUCUGAAACAGAUCAAGGUCAAACGAACACCAAACAAUAUACAAUACAUAGGACAGCGUUAUUUGUAGUGGGAAAUUCGGCCAACAAAGGAAACCGAUCAAGGUCAAACGAACAUCAAACAAGAUACAAUACACUUCAGGACAACAUUAUUUGCAGUGGGAAAUCAUUAUUAGAUUCGGAC